CCCAGACGAAAAGCCCCAAAUCUUUCUUCCAUUUGGAUGCGCUCGCUCUCCUCGGCUGCCUUUCUGCUUCUUCCCUUUGGUUUCUCUUCUUUCUUAGCGGAAUCGAUUAGAUCAGAGAAGGGAGGCGAGAAAGAGACGAAAGAGCGAGAAACCUCAUAAUCUGGAAUCGUGGUCGGGGAACAAACAAGUUUCCGCCGCUCAUUUGUGUCGCGACAAUGACUUCUACCUGCCUAGCGUGUCGUACCACGGGUAGCCCAUCGCCGUCAUUCAGGAGCUACUCCGUUUCGAGUUCAAGCUCAGAGGAUGAGGGACAAUGCAUUGCUCUCAUCGCCUGUUUGGCCCGCCGGGUCACUGUGGCUACCACCGGGUCCAGUAAUGCUAUUUCAACCUCCAAAGUAGCUCCGCAGCCGAUGGUGGCAAGCAGUCAAGGUGUGGCUGGAACUCCACGGCUUCAGCGCAGCCGAGCCAUGAGCAGGGACCAAGUCAGAAACUGGAAUUUCUGACCAUGCUCAGAUAGAGGGAGAGCAGUCCACUCUCCCUAGUGUAUAUUUUGGUCACCAGUUGGUGUUUCUGUAUAUUUUCUUUCUUGCAUUUGGAUCUUUAGUAGUUCUGGAGUAUUGCAAUUGCAUUUUGGUCA
Long non-coding RNA from Zingiber officinale, 637 nucleotides. RefSeq lists it as uncharacterized. The transcript is spliced from 3 exons. The record is from RefSeq and is a predicted model, not a curated record. Lineage: Eukaryota; Viridiplantae; Streptophyta; Magnoliopsida; Zingiberales; Zingiberaceae.